UCUCCAUCUAGAGCUUCACCUCACACUGGACUCCCACUAGCAUCCUCCAUGAUAGACAGCAUCUCCUUACACAAGAGAGCAUUGAUCAACCAUUCACGGUUGAUCUCCACCUUGAUUGCACCUAUCUUCUUCAUCUUCUUCAAUCUCGAUUAACACCGCUGUAACCUGGUGCUCUGGUACCACCUAGCUCUGAUACCAA
This 199-nucleotide long non-coding RNA is filed under the name Elaeis guineensis (African oil palm). Its description in RNAcentral is "long non-coding RNA (EGUI_LNC040302)". Lineage: Eukaryota; Viridiplantae; Streptophyta; Magnoliopsida; Arecales; Arecaceae. The record is from RNAcentral.